UACUCCGCCGGCGACCGGCGCACGGGUGCGUAACGCGUAUGCAACCUACCUUUAACAGGGGCAUAACACUGAGAAAUUGGUACUAAUUCCCCAUAACAUUCGAGAAGGCAUCUUCUUGGGUUAAAAACUCCGGUGGUUAAAGAUGGGCAUGCGUUGUAUUAGCUAGUUGGUGAGGUAACGGCUCACCAAGGCAACGAUACAUAGGGGGACUGAGAGGUUAACCCCCCACAUUGGAACUGAGACACGGUCCAA
This 252-nucleotide ribosomal RNA is filed under the name uncultured bacterium. RNAcentral's name for it is "partial 16S ribosomal RNA". It matches the Rfam family "Bacterial small subunit ribosomal RNA", at positions 81 to 334 of the family's 1533-position model. The record is from RNAcentral.